This 107-nucleotide small nuclear RNA is filed under the name Rhinopithecus roxellana (golden snub-nosed monkey). Lineage: Eukaryota; Metazoa; Chordata; Mammalia; Primates; Cercopithecidae. The record is from RNAcentral.
GUGCUCACUUCAGCAGCACAUAUACUAAAACUGGAACAAUACCGAAAAGAUUAGCAUGGCCCCUGUGCAAGGAUGACAUGCAAAUUCAUGAAGCAUUUCAUAUUAAA